RNAcentral lists this microRNA (23 nucleotides) under Capitella teleta. RNAcentral describes it as "cte-miR-2689". Lineage: Eukaryota; Metazoa; Annelida; Polychaeta; Capitellidae. The record is from miRBase by way of RNAcentral.
UAUCCUGGCCUGCAAGUGCACUC